UGCAAGUCGAACGCGAAAGCACCUUCGGGUGUUAGUAGAGUGGCGGACGGGUGAGUAAUGCUUGGGAAUCUGCCUAGUAGUGGGGGAUAACUCGAGGAAACUCGAGCUAAUACCGCAUACGCCCUACGGGGGAAAGAUUUAUCGCUAUUAGAUGAGCCCAAGUCAGAUUAGCUAGUUGGUAGGGUAAUGGCCUACCAAGGCGACGAUCUGUAGCUGGUCUGAGAGGACGAACAGCCACACUGGGACUGAGACACGGCCCAGACUCCUACGGGAGGCAGCAGUGGGGAAUAUUGGACAAUGGGCGCAAGCCUGAUCCAGCAAUGCCGCGUGUGUGAAGAAGGCCUGCGGGUUGUAAAGCACUUUCAGUGGGGAAGAAAAGCCUGGGGUGAAUACCCUCGGGUCUUGACGUUACCCACAGAAGAAGCACCGGCUAACUCCGUGCCAGCAGCCGCGGUAAUACG
Molecule: ribosomal RNA, 461 nt
Filed under: uncultured bacterium
Lineage: Bacteria
Description: bacterial SSU rRNA
Rfam family: Bacterial small subunit ribosomal RNA
Source: RNAcentral